CCCGUACUUGGUGUUACUGCGAAGGGGGGACGGAGAAGGCUAUGUUGGCCGGGCGACGGUUGUCCCGGUUUAAGCGUGUAGGUGUGUGUUCCAGGUAAAUACGGUUCACUUUAACACUGAGGCGUGAUGACGAGGCACUACGGUGCUGAAGCAACAAAUGCCCUGCUUCCAGGAAAAGCCUCUAAGCAUCAGGUAACAUCAAAUCGUACCCCAAACCGACACAGGUGGUCAGGUAGAGAAUAC
Molecule: ribosomal RNA, 243 nt
Filed under: Salmonella enterica subsp. enterica serovar Kentucky
Lineage: Bacteria; Pseudomonadati; Pseudomonadota; Gammaproteobacteria; Enterobacterales; Enterobacteriaceae
Description: partial 23S ribosomal RNA
Rfam family: Bacterial large subunit ribosomal RNA
Source: RNAcentral